This is a long non-coding RNA of Manis pentadactyla (Chinese pangolin), 1908 nucleotides long. RefSeq lists it as uncharacterized. The record is from RefSeq and is a predicted model, not a curated record. The transcript is spliced from 3 exons. NCBI's taxonomy places the organism in Eukaryota, Metazoa, Chordata, Mammalia, Pholidota, Manidae.
CCCGCCCGAGCCUCGGGGUGGCCCAGGGCGGGCUGGCGCGGGCGGGAAAGCUUAGCCCGCGAGCCGGGACAGGGGUCCCUCCGCCGCCAAGGGGAGUGCGUGCGUGCGUGCGUCCCCCCGCCCGCAGCCGCGGAGUCUGCUCGAACGCAGGGGGCAGCCGGGAUCCUGAGGGGCAUCGAGGUCACCAGCCUAACAAGAGCCUCACCAGGCUCCCCAAAACCACAGGCUGUGAAAAAUAACAUCGACAACGCACAACACCAAGUAGGUCGUCCGGAUUCCUCUGGUUGUUAAAUCCCCAUCCUUCCUAAAGAUUAGCGAUCUUUGCAUGCUGGACACCAUAACCCUCAGCGUCUCACUCCCCAUAUCUAGGUGGACACAGUUCUUGGUGCUUUCUCAGUAUUGCCGCUAAUGUCCCCUUUCCCCUUCGUCGCUGCAACAUGGAGAGCAUCUCUACCUUUUUAGAAAUGGGUCUAAUUAGACAAGAGCAUAUCAAUCGUAUGGCUGUUUAGUAGGAGGGCAGGGAAGGGCAGCUAUUUCACUCCUGGCGCAGAUGGAGAAGAGGCUUUGUAAAGUUAUGUGGUUUUGCCCAAGGCUCUUGUCAGUUAUGUGGUUUUACCGAAGACACAGGAAGUGGUGUAGCCAGUUCUCAAGCCAAGGUUUUUCUGACUCAGAAUCCCAGCGCCCAUCCAGUCCAGUUUGCUGCUGUUGAAUAUCCUUUUCACUCCCUGCAGAUUGGAUCCAGGCCACCAUUCCUUGAAUUUGAAAAGGCUGCUCACCAGAGUGAGUGACUUUAUGACACCCGACGUGUGUAGGUGCAGGACAUGUGGCCCAGCUGACUAUUGUGGGUCGACUCCCAGGCAUUCCAGGAUUUCCCAUUUGUGGGGAAGGCAGGAAAGACAGGGUUUCUGCUGUCUGUACCUCAGGCUACUCAUAGAGCCACAGACACACAAUAGAGCUGGGAAGUUCUCAAGGGGUCUCUUGUCUAAUAACGUCCUUGUCCAGAGGGUGAAACCCAGGCCGGAGAGGGCACCAGGAGAGUGCACGAAGAGGCAGAUGAACACAGAGUUCCCCAGCCUGCAGGCUCCAGCACUGCCCAUGUUACCCCUGCCACCUUCCUGUUCCAGGAAGCUUUUCCAGCCUGGGUCACUGCUGAUGAGCUGACCCCUGGACACUCUUCUCCAUUACUUGGUGUUGCCAACACAAACCUCACUCACCACAAAUAAUCAAAAGGAACACUUUUGCUGAUUCACCGAUGAGACCAUGUCUGGUUUAUAUUAACCAGCAUAAGUAAGUUACUAAUUCACACCAGAAGCCAAAAUGAAGAGAACAGAUGCCUCACAGGAUUUGGCAACCGCCUGUGACCCUGCACCCUUUUCUGGAAAAUCCUCAUUCAUGUCAUUAAUCUCACUGACCAAUUCAGUUAUUUCAAACACUGUUUUCCUUAAAUACAAUUUGUUUUCAUUCAUUCAUUGAUUGUUCAUUGCGUGCCGGCAGGUGUGUGCCCUGCCCACUGCAUCCGCCUGUGUCACCUGUCCCCCAGAUCCCUCGCACACACCCUCCCAUAGGGCUGCGGGCGCUGUUCUCCCCCGGGGUUUGGUCUCAGCCCUAUCACAUCCUCGCCAUCUCACGUUAGGAUAGUCUUUCUGCUUGCUGACUGCCGCACUAGAUCGUGAACAUCAUGAGGACAGCAAGCAUGUCUUAGUCCUCCUUGCUUCCUGUGGGUAAAAUUGUAACAUUUACAGAGUAUCUCGCCUGGCUUUAGUUCAUUUGCAUAUCCUCAGGGGUGGAGAGAAGUUCAUCUCCACGUCAAUGGGUAAUUACCAGGGCAACCAAGGACGUGUCUGAACCGGGGCUUUUAAAGGGAGGGGCUUGCUUGCUUCUUCGGGAGCAGAGAGAGAUGGCCCUGGA